CUCAGGAUGAACGCUAGCGACAGGCCUAACACAUGCAAGUCGAGGGGCAUCGGGGCGAGGAGCAAUCCUUGCCGCCGGCGACCGGCGCACGGGUGAGUAACGCGCAUGCGACCUGCCCGUUGCAGGGGGAUAAUCGGGAGGAAUCCCGUCUAAUACCGCGUAAUGCCGCGGGGCUGCAUGGCCCUGCGGCCAAAGGGAGCGAUUCCGGCAACGGAUGGGCAUGCGUGACAUUAGCUAGUUGGCGGGGCAACGGCCCACCAAGGCGACGAUGUCUAGGGGUUCUGAGAGGAAGGUCCCCCACACUGGUACUGAGACACGGACCAGACUCCUACGGGAGGCAGCAGUGAGGAAUAUUGGUCAAUGGGCGCGAGCCUGAACCAGCCAAGUCGCGUGAGGGAUGACGGCCCUACGGGUUGUAAACCUCUUUUGUCGGGGAGCAAAUUCCGCCACGUGUGGCGGAGUCGAGAGUACCCGAAGAAAAAGCAUCGGCUAACUCCGUGCCAGCAGCCGCGGUAAUACGGAGGAUGCGAGCGUUAUCCGGAUUUAUUGGGUUUAAAGGGUGCGUAGGCGGACUGUCAAGUCAGCGGUGAAAUACGGGGGCUCAACCUCCGCCCGCCGUUGAAACUGACGGUCUUGAGUGGGCGAGAAGUAUGCGGAAUGCGUGGUGUAGCGGUGAAAUGCAUAGAUAUCACGCAGAACUCCGAUUGCGAAGGCAGCAUACCGGCGCCCGACUGACGCUGAAGCACGAAAGCGUGGGUAUCGAACAGGAUUAGAUACCCUGGUAGUCCACGCAGUAAACGAUGAAUACUAGCUGUCCGGGGCGAAUGAGCCCUGGGUGGCACAGCGAAAGCGUUAAGUAUUCCACCUGGGGAGUACGCCGGCAACGGUGAAACUCAAAGGAAUUGACGGGGGCCCGCACAAGCGGAGGAACAUGUGGUUUAAUUCGAUGAUACGCGAGGAACCUUACCCGGGCUCAAACGACACAGGAACGUACCUGAAAGGGUUCGGCUCUACGGAGCCUGUGUCGAGGUGCUGCAUGGUUGUCGUCAGCUCGUGCCGUGAGGUGUCGGCUUAAGUGCCAUAACGAGCGCAACCCCCAUCGACAGUUGCUAACAGGUCAGGCUGAGGACUCUGUCGAGACUGCCGGCGCAAGCUGCGAGGAAGGCGGGGAUGACGUCAAAUCAGCACGGCCCUUACGUCCGGGGCGACACACGUGUUACAAUGGCAGGUACAGCGGGAAGCCACCUGGCGACAGGGAGCGGAACCCGAAAGCCUGUCUCAGUUCGGAUUGGAGUCUGCAACCCGACUCCAUGAAGCUGGAUUCGCUAGUAAUCGCGCAUCAGCCACGGCGCGGUGAAUACGUUCCCGGGCCUUGUACACACCGCCCGUCAAGCCAUGGAAGCCGGGGGUGCCUGAAGUGCGCUGCCGCGAGGAGCGCCCUAGGGUAAAACCGGUGACUGGGGCUAAGUCGUAACAAGGUA
This 1481-nucleotide ribosomal RNA is filed under the name uncultured bacterium. Its description in RNAcentral is "16S ribosomal RNA". It matches the Rfam family "Bacterial small subunit ribosomal RNA". The record is from RNAcentral.